CCUUUCCGGCCUGUUGACAUGGAAACGCGCGGAGCCUUUUCCCUUCUGUCUGCCUUUCCGGCCUGUUGACGUGGAAACGCGCGGGGCCUUUUCCCUUCUGUCUGCCUUUCCGGCCUGUUGACGUGGAGACGCGCGGGGCCUUUUCCCUUCUGUCUGCCUUUCCGGCCUGUUGACGUGGAGACGCGCGGGGCCUUUUCCCUUCUGUCUGCCUUUCCGGCCUGUUGACGUGGAGACGCGCGGGGCGUUUUCCCUUCUGUCUGCCUUUCCGGCCUGUUGACGUGGAGACGCGCGGGGCCUUUUCCCUUCUGUCUGCCUUUCCGGCCUGUUGACGUGGAGACGCGCGGGGCCUUUUCCCUUCUGUCUGCCUUUCCGGCCUGUUGACGUGGAGACGCGCGGGGCCUUUUCCCUUCUGUCUGCCUUUCCGGCCUGUUGACGUGGAGACGCGCGGGGCCUUUUCCCUUCUGUCUGCCUUUCCGGCCUGUUGACGUGGAGACGCGCGGGGCCUUUUCCCUUCUGUCUGCCUUUCCGGCCUGUUGACGUGGAGACGCGCGGGGCGUUUUCCCUUCUGUCUGCCUUUCCGGCCUGUUGACGUGGAGACGCGCGGGGCGUUUUCCCUUCUGUCUGCCUUUCCGGCCUGUUGACGUGGAGACGCGCGGGGCCUUUUCCCUUCUGUCUGCCUUUCCGGCCUGUUGACGUGGAGACGCGCGGGGCCUUUUCCCUUCUGUCUGCCUUUCCGGCCUGUUGACGUGGAGACGCGCGGGGCCUUUUCCCUUCUGUCUGCCUUUCCGGCCUGUUGACGUGGAGACGCGCGGGGCCUUUUCCCUUCUGUCUGCCUUUCCGGCCUGUUGACGUGGAGACGCGCGGGGCCUUUUCCCUUCUGUCUGCCUUUCCGGCCUGUUGACGUGGAGACGCGCGGGGCCUUUUCCCUUCUGUCUGCCUUUCCGGCCUGUUGACACGGAGACGCGCGGGGCCUUUUCCCUUCUGUCUUCCUUUCCGGCCUCUUGACGUAGUCUACUUUUACUCAGCUCCUGUCAUAGUGCUUGUAAGGUCGUGUAUCCUAAAUUUUCUCUAAAUGAUAUAUCAUAAGCACUUUUCUAUGUUGUCAUUUAGUUGUAGUAAUCAACAUUUUAAUGACUAAGUGAUAUUUCAGAGCAUUUCAACAUUCCUGAAUAAAAUGAUAAUAUGGCCGUAAAAACAAUGAGGUUGUACCACAAUAGAAGAAAUAUAACUCUAGUCUUUAAGAAAGAAACGUUACUACCUGUGUGGCUAACAGUUGCUGGCUUUUCUCUAUGUUUCUCAUACUUUGGAAUGAAUUAGCUCUAGAAUAAAGUCAGCAUAUUGUGUGUCUGAGUCCUGAACUUCUGGCUGGUGGACACAGAUCUCUGUUGUAUGCAGCCUUCUUGCUGGCCAAGUAGAUCAGCACAGAGACACUGAGCUCACUCUGGCUUUCUCUGUUCUCCAGCCUGGCCCCCUGCAUUCCCACAGCUUAAAGUUUAUUUUAAGCUUUAUUCUUUCCCACGUCCUUUGUUUUUUUUAGAUAACGUUCAUGUAAUUAUGAAAAUAAAUUCAGAGCAAGGCUGUCUUUCUGAGGGCAGGGGUGCGUUGCCGGCAGCCGAGGCCUGCUGGGGAUAGUGUUCCUCGUCUGCCAGUGCUUGUUCUGUGGGAAUAAAGCAACAGGAUCAUUUUAGAAUAAUUAGGGAAAAAAUACAAAACACUGAGGGUGAAUUAGCCCUGCCAAUCUGGUGGUCGUUCCUGAGUUCAGCAAAUUUGCAUCCAUAUGUAUCUGUGUCUUGUGACUGCAUUGAUUUGGUUUUCAACUUCUUUGCAAGAAUACAAGCUACGGGGAGGCUGCCGCCUCAGUAGAGCCUGUGUUCACUGAUGUGGCCCUGUGGUAACAGCGAGGACAGCAAGGUGACGGGUGCAGCUCCUGCCCGUCAGGCACUCACAGUCCUGAAGAAGACAGAGGAAGAAAAGCCCGUUGUCCAGCAAGCUUGUGAGGUGGCUGAAGCCUGUCUCCACUGUAUCCAGGGCAGAAAAAUACCGGCGAGACUUCAGCGGGGCUGAGGCCUAACUGAAACCAAGAUGAGCUUUGGUUUUAUUUCUUAGUAUAAUGUCACCUAGUGAGUUUCACCAAAUAUUGCAUUUGCAUAAUGCAUUUUUGUGCUACUUUUCUAGACCCCAGAAGUGACAAGAGGGCAGGAAACUUCUGGCUCACGCCAGCACGGUAACCACUGCUUCUGUCCGUCUCCUCGACAGUCCGCACACCACUGCACAAGGCAGCGGUUUAUCUUUUUAAUUCUCUGCUUCAUUGGCAUAGCCUUGACUGGCAAACAGGAGUUGAUUGCUAUCUGGUGGGAGAUACAGAGUGGAGGCAGGCAUGGGAAAUACAGUGCGUUAAAGGUAGGUUCAGAUUGAGUGGAGCAGCUUUAAAGGACUAAGUGUCUGGCCAGUCUUCAAUAAACAUGAAACUGAAGUUAGAACCAAGAAGUAUCCAAGAAAUCACCUGGUACAGCAACUCCGGAACUAACAGCCUGUAGGACACUCAGUGGGCUCCUGGUUUCAUAUUCCAUAAUGCAAACAUCUACUGAGGACCAUGCUAGACAGCGGCAAAGGCCAAAAAAAGCACCAGGACUUGACUUCAGCUACGAUCCAAGCAAUCAGAUGUGCUUUUACAUGUCAAUUGCAUGCAAACCACCAGUGCAAGUUUGAAGUGUUACGUGACAAGAGUAGUAAGAAUCGCCUUCAAUGAUGCAUAGGGAGCAUUCACUAUGGGCCCAGCACCCCACAAGACCACCUCUAUGCAUUAUCUUGUUUUAUGCCAUUAGACAUUUGAGAAACCUGAAAUUCAAAGACGGCAGCCACUCAGACAAGGUCAGGGAGCUGGUAGCAGCAGAUCCAGGGUCCAGCCCCGACAGCCGAGCUCCAGCUCUGGCGUUUGACCACCCUGCGAAUCCUAUUAUACCACUUGACCUAAAAUUCAUGUGCAAAUAUAGAAAUUACUUCACGCUCAGGACUUGGAGGAUUAUUAUCAAAGGCCCCUGCGGGUAGGUGAUUGGGAGUCAUGGCUGGGAAGAGCUGAACUCCUCAUGUUCUCAUGGCUGAUCCGAGAGCCCUGGGUUUGGAAGCAGAACACCCACCUGUUUAGAGCUGUGAUUCUGUCACUUCCUAGGGGUGUGAUGGUGGGAAUUAACCAAGUUUCUUCACCAGUAAUAUUUGCACAAUAACACCGUCCUCAUUCUGCUGUCUAUAGUAUUUAAAACUCCUAUAUUAAAUAACCCUUCCAAUACUGCUGCAAAUUAAAAACCUGGACCAAGGGGACCCCAACUAACUACUGCAGCCACCCCUGCUGGGGGCAAGCCAGAGCCCACUAAAACAGGACAUUUGGCUACAUUUACAGGGCGGUUUAAAUGAUUUGAAGCAACAGAUGUGUAUAUUGACUUGGAAGGUUUUGCAGGAAACUGUGUUUCAGUACUUAAAUAGCAUACUGUAAGGGCUGACCUUGAUCCAAGGGGUCACAAAUGUCACCUCGUUGGGAGGUGUCUUUUCCAGGAUCUACGUUAUAAUUAUGAUCUCCUUGGAAGCACCAGGGGAGAAAUUCCAGAUGGUUUUGCAAGGAUAAAGUGAGAGCAAAUGAACAUCCAGGUUAUGUAUGGAUGUUCAUGGAGGAUUAAGUGAGAGAAUGGUGUGGAAAGUACCAGGUAAACCAGGAGGCCUGAAGCACACGUGUAAUAUGUUUAUUAUUUGACUUAAAUGAAAGCAUGGAUAUUUUUAAAGGUUAAAGAAAAAGGUUCACCAUUUUAAACUCAUGUAAAAUCAUUAUAUAAAAUUAUUAUUGCUUUUAACUGAGUUCUUGAAUCAUUUCUUCUUAAUUCAAACAAGUCAUUAUUCUGUGACCAGUAGGAGUUUUUGAGAUCAGUCUGUUUGCUACUAAAUUUGUCUGCACUUGGGACUUCACUCAAGAGGAAUGCCAGCUUUCUUGUGUGGAACCAGAGGCAGUCGGGGCCUGAGCCAGCAGCACUACCUGAUCGAGGAACAGGUGCACUGAGAAAACAGAGAAGCCACUCAAGACUGUUAACUUUUUGUUUGAAAGCUGCAUCAAAGUCUGGGUAGCCUUCCCAGAAAUACUAUUCAGUACAUGAGCACAGCAGCCUGGGACCUGCAGGGCUCCGCAGGUGACCCUGGCUAACUCCACUGGAAGGGCCCCGCCUCCAGCAACAUCUUCCUCAGUUUCCACCUUCUGUCCUUUGCUGAUUUAGUCCCACAAGAACUUGAGUCUGAAGACAGCUUUGUUUUCACUGCUGUGAUAACAAAAACACAAUUAUGAAAUAAUGUAAACGCUCAUGCAAAAACACACAGAAAAGCCAAACACAACAGUGGCCCAGCCAAGCUCUGCGAGCUUAGUCCUGUGUGCUGUGAAUGCCCUGGGCCCCUCUGGAUGCCAAGUGCCAUGGACUCAGGCCUUAAAGGAAUUUUCAAGCAACACUUUAAAUAUACGCAUUUCAAAAAGUGACUUAUACACAAAAUUCAAGUGCGAUGGUGUACUUUUUGUUAUUUUUACUAACUAGAAUAUAGGGCUCGUGUACAUUUUACAAAUUUGUUUUGCUUUAGCCUUUUGUUAUCCCAUCAAAUCGCUGUCAGGGUCACCAGGCCAGUCCUUUUCCUCCUGCCUGCUGUGGGUGUGAUAUGCAUUCUGUAAAACAGGUGUCUGGCAUGGUUUUUGCUCUCAUUUUGUUGCUUUUAUGUUCUUUGAUAUGGUUAAACCUAUCUUUUAUUUA
This is a long non-coding RNA of Homo sapiens (human), 4775 nucleotides long. The record is from Ensembl. Lineage: Eukaryota; Metazoa; Chordata; Mammalia; Primates; Hominidae.